RNAcentral lists this ribosomal RNA (463 nucleotides) under uncultured Bacillota bacterium. Its description in RNAcentral is "bacterial SSU rRNA". It matches the Rfam family "Bacterial small subunit ribosomal RNA", at positions 8 to 452 of the family's 1533-position model. Lineage: Bacteria; Bacillati; Bacillota. The record is from RNAcentral.
AGAGUUUGAUCAUGGCUCAGGAUGAACGCUGGCGGCGUGCCUAACACAUGCAAGUCGAGCGUGAUUGUUAUGAGUGGCGACUUCGGUCAAAGCGAGUAACAUGAAAGCGGCGGACGGGUGAGUAACGCGUGGGCAACCUGCCCCAUACACGAGGAUAGCCACUGGAAACGGUGAUUAAUACUCGAUAAGACCACACUACCACAUGGUAGAGCGGCCAAAGAUUUAUCGGUAUGGGAUGGGCCCGCGUCUGAUUAGCUAGUUGGUGAGGUAACGGCUCACCAAGGCGACGAUCAGUAACCGACCUGAGAGGGCGGACGGUCACACUGGAACUGAGACACGGUCCAGACUCCUACGGGAGGCAGCAGUGGGGAAUAUUGCACAAUGGGCGCAAGCCUGAUGCAGCAACGCCGCGUGAGUGAAGAAGGCCUUCGGGUCGUAAAGCUCUGUCCUGUGGGACGAAAAA